GACGAACGCUGGCGGCGUGCUUAACACAUGCAAGUCGAACGGAAAGGCCCUGCUUGCAGGGUGCUCGAGUGGCGAACGGGUGAGUAACACGUGGGUGAUCUGCCCCUUACUUUGGGAUAAGCCUGGGAAACUGGGUCUAAUACUGGAUAGGACCAUGCUGUAGGUGGUGUGGUGGAAAGAUUUUUUCGGUAAGGGAUGAGCUCGCGGCCUAUCAGCUUGUUGGUGGGGUAAUGGCCUACCAAGGCGUCGACGGGUAGCCGGCCUGAGAGGGUGGACGGCCACAUUGGGACUGAGAUACGGCGCAGACUCCUACGGGAGGCAGCAGUGGGGAAUAUUGCACAAUGGGCGCAAGCCUGAUGCAGCGACGCCGCGUGGGGGAUGACGGCCUUCGGGUUGUAAACUCCUUUCAGCCAUGACGAAGCCUCUUUUGGGGUGACGGUAGUGGUAGAAGAAGCACCGGCUAACUACGUG
Molecule: ribosomal RNA, 471 nt
Filed under: uncultured bacterium
Lineage: Bacteria
Description: partial 16S ribosomal RNA
Rfam family: Bacterial small subunit ribosomal RNA
Source: RNAcentral